This is a non-coding RNA of Pelobates cultripes (western spadefoot toad), 211 nucleotides long. Lineage: Eukaryota; Metazoa; Chordata; Amphibia; Anura; Pelobatidae. The record is from the annotation of a GenBank genome assembly.
AUUAAAGGGCAAUUUUUAGAAAAGGGAUAUGAUGAAACCAUUUUAGAUCAAGAUCUUAAUGAAGUUAGAAAACUCCAAAGAAAAAAUCUCAUUCAAUAUAAACCAAAAUACAAACCAAGAGACACAAGCGAAAUUCCUUUUAUUUGUAAUUUUAAUGGACAAAACAAACGCAUACAAUGCACCAUAAAAAAGUAUUGGCAUUUACUCCAGG